ACUCCAAAUAGAUGAGAACUUCCGGCUUUUCUUGAACUCUGUUUUUGAAGCCGGGGGCUCGGAUCAGAGUGCCAAGUGGGCCAAUUUUGGUAAGCAGAACUGGCGCUGUGGGAUGAACCAAACGUCGAGUUAAGGCGCCCAAAUCGACGCUCAUGUGAAACCAUGAAAGGCGUUGGUUGCUUAAGACAGCAGGACGGUGGCCAUGGAAGUCGGAAUCCGCUAAGGAGUGUGUAACAACUCACCUGCCGAAGCAACUAGCCCUGAAAAUGGAUGGCGCUGUAGCGUCGUGCCUAUACUCGACCGUCAACGGCAAAGAUGGCUGGCGGGCAACCGUCGGCCGUUACGCCUUGACGAGUAGGAGGGCCGCGGCGGCGUGCGUAGAAGGGUCUGGGCGUGAGCCUGCCUGGAGCCGCCGUCGGUGCAGAUCUUGGUGGUAGUAGCAAAUACUCCAGCGAGGCCCUGGAGGACUGAUGUGGAGAAGGGUUUCUUGUGAACAGCUGUUGCACAAGAGUCAGUCGGUCCUAAGCCCUAGGAGAAAUCCGAAGCGAUGGGUUGCCGUUAAUGAUCAUUAUACCAUUAUGAAGGCACCCGUUUGGGCGAAAGGGAAUCCGGUUCCUAUUCCGGAACCUGGCAGUGGAACCGUUCCAAUUCGGGCCCUCUGAGGACUCGUCAGGGCAACCUGAAUAGACCCGGAGACGCCGACAGGAGGUUGGGGGAGAGUUGUCUCUUCUCUAUAAGCGAUCGAGUUCCCUGGAAACUUCUAGCAAGGAGAUAGGGUUUGGAUCGCGAAGAGCACUGCAGUUACGGCAGUGUCCCAAUCUUCCUCUCGGACCUUGAAAAUCCGGGUGAGGGCCACGAGGAACCCCACGCCAGACCGUACCCAUAUCCGCAGCAGGUCUCCAAGGUGCAAAGCCUCUAGUCGAUAGAAU
RNAcentral lists this ribosomal RNA (929 nucleotides) under Austroplagiognathus sp. Msp077. RNAcentral describes it as "partial large subunit ribosomal RNA". It matches the Rfam family "Eukaryotic large subunit ribosomal RNA", at positions 1062 to 1896 of the family's 3401-position model. The record is from RNAcentral. Lineage: Eukaryota; Metazoa; Arthropoda; Insecta; Hemiptera; Miridae.